CCCUUCACCUCCUGGUGUCCCUAAGGAUGUCAGCUGAGACAGCUUCAUCACUGGUCCUGGUUCCUUCAUCAGUGCUGUAAUUUUCUGGGAUUCACCUCCAUAAAGAGAUCUAAGGAUCCAUCAUUACAAAAUCUGCAUAAGCUUACAGGGGCCAGAGCAGCUAAUAAAGAUCACUGGGAAAUGACUAAUGCAUAUGCGCUGCCACUGUACCUACCACUGUCUUUGCUGGUCUCUGGAGAGGUGCUGGGAGAGCACAACAGCCACUGGUGGAGAAAAACAAGAGAAGAGAAAGGAUUCAUCUGCCAGGAAGAGAUGCAGUCAUGACUCUGGCUUGGUGUGAUAAACAGCAUGUGCUGUUCAGAGAUCUGGCUGUGCACAGGCCAUAUUCCCUUGAUCUCUCUCCAACUUGGAGAUCCUUCUGCUGUGGUUGAUGUGAACAAAUCUCAUGCUUUGUAUCACCUCCUUUGCAAAUGAGAGAACCACAAGGAACUCAAUCUCUAUGUGUGAAAAUGGAGACCAGCAACAUGUUCUUCUAAUACAAAAGCAGCAGAGGAAAGGGCAAAUGUGCAGGCUUCCUAGAGAAGGUUGAGUUUUGGGAUACUUGAUUUGGGAUCCUGAACACGAGAUCUCCAGUGGGUGAAUGUCUUCACUUGUGGCUGGUCACAGGUAGGACUGGGAGUGAAAGGCAGGCUGUGUUUGUAAGUAGCUGAAGAUGCAGAAGGUAGGAUCUUGGAACUUGAGGCUGUUUCUCAAAAUGUGUGCUUUAACAUUCCAAUGAUUUAACUUUCCCAUCCACAAAUAGGAAGUAAAUCUUCAUCAUCAGUGAAGAACUUAAAAAGUUCAGUGUUUAUACAUGCUACUUCAGAGAAGCAGAAAUACAAAAAAAUCCUUUUUGUUCAUCUGAAUGUCUCAAAGCUCUUUUAAACUGUUAAUUAAUUGAGCAGUCAUAAUGAUGUGCCAAUGGGGAUGAAGGGGGAGGAAUAAUUUACAGGUGGGAGAAAUGAGGCAUGAAUGACUUCCUAGCCUUACCUGUGCCAUGCUGUUAGUCUGUGUCAGAUCCAGACAGAUACCUUCUGUCCUGUCUCCUUUUGCAUCUGUGAUGGGUGGCUGGGAGCAUCAGUUUUCUCCUCCUUCCUGCUUCCUCCUCUUCUUCUGUAGAGAACCCAUCUCCUUAUCCUCAGGCUGCUGUUUCAUGGAAGUCCAUGUGGCUCUGUCUCUGAGGGAGCAGGCCUGGAAGCUGGAACAUGUUUCAACUCCCACUGGACAUGACACAGCCAGAGAGUCAACUCCACUGCAUGGGAGAAAGGAAAUGAAACCUCAGGUUGCUCUUAGAACAAUGGCACAUUCUGCCCUGCCUUCCUCCUUCUGACUUUAUGCACAGCUGAAUUAUGGUGUGCUGUCCUCUGCACACCUUCCACAACAACUCAGUUUAUACCUUUGCUGCACUGAGCAGAGUACCUCAGGAAUAUCUGACCUGGCUCUGAAAUACCAGCUCACCUCUAAGAAACAACAGAGCCCUCGUUGUCAUUGCCUCUUUCUUGUCUGAACUCCUGUAUCCGAGGUCAGUACACUUUUGUACAGAAAACGUUGAAUCUUCUGGCAUAUAUAGAAUAAAUGAGCACAAGGUAAAUUCAAUUUGUUUAAAACUUACAGAAUGGGCAGGAUAAAACUACUGCUUAGGAAAAUAACUGGUGCAGAAUUUCAUCUGGAAUUUGGCUGAGAAUUCUGUUUAAACUUAGAUAAACACAGCUAUGAAACUCAUGAAGAUGUCACAUCAGUAGCUCACCCAACAACUUUGAGAGCCUCCUGGGAAGGUAAUCCCAGCACCAACAGUAAUCAGUAAUUCCAACAGGCUGCUUUCCUCUAGCUACUCCUUAUUGAGCUCCUGAAACUUCAGGCAUGAAGUUUUUCUUCUACCCAACAUGGUUCCAACUGCUUCUCCCUAUCAGUUAUUCAUAUCUGAAAGGGAAAGGAAAAAUAUUGACUUAAAUUGCUGGACCCUGGAACACAAGUUUUUUUAUUUAACUGACAGGGCUUAUGGUUACCUUCAGACGUAGCUUUUAAAGUAGUUUUUAGCUGGAUGACAGAGAUAAGCCCUCCAGGAAAAAGCAGCAGUAAAG
Molecule: non-coding RNA, 2120 nt
Organism: Cyanistes caeruleus (blue tit)
Lineage: Eukaryota; Metazoa; Chordata; Aves; Passeriformes; Paridae
Source: RefSeq, a predicted model, not a curated record